GGGCCAUAGCUCAGUGGUAGAGCACAUGUUUUGUAUGCAAAAUGUCCCAGGUUCAAUUCCUGGCAUCUCCA
Podarcis lilfordi (Lilford's wall lizard) is the source of this 71-nucleotide non-coding RNA. NCBI's taxonomy places the organism in Eukaryota, Metazoa, Chordata, Lepidosauria, Squamata, Lacertidae. The record is from the annotation of a GenBank genome assembly.